AAUCUUGUGCCAGCAGUCGCGGUAAGACAAGGAAGACUAGCGUUUUUCAUCUUUAUUAGGUUUAAAGGGUACCUAGACGGUUUAUCUAGCCUUGAAAAGGGGAACAGAUCAAACUAGAGUUUAAUAUGGGAGGUAAAUUUAGUAUUGAAAGAGGAGAGAUAAAAUAUUUUUAUACUUUCGAGACUGAUAAUGGUGAAAACAAUCCUCUAUGUAAUAACUGACGUUAAGGGACGAAGGCAUGGUUAUCGAAUAGGAUUAGAUACCCUAAUAGUCCAUGCAGAAAAUGAUGAAUGUCAUAAAGAUUCUUUUUAUCCUAUUUAAGGUUUUAGGAUUUUUAUAAAUGAAAGUGUAAGCAUUCCACCUCAAGAGUACUACGGCAACGUAUAAACUGAAAUCAUUAGACCGUUUCUGAAACCAGUAGUGAAGUAUGUUAUUUAAUUCGAUAACCCUCGAAAAACCUUACCUCAAUUUGAAUUGUAAUGUGUAGUAAUAUAAUACUGAUUAUAAUUAACAUUAUAACAAGCGUUGCACGGCUGUCUUCAGUUAAUGUCGUGAGAUCUGGUUAACCC
RNAcentral lists this ribosomal RNA (569 nucleotides) under Scolecobasidium sp. CBS 175.65. Its description in RNAcentral is "SSU rRNA". It matches the Rfam family "Bacterial small subunit ribosomal RNA", at positions 499 to 1086 of the family's 1533-position model. Lineage: Eukaryota; Fungi; Ascomycota; Dothideomycetes; Venturiales; Sympoventuriaceae. The record is from RNAcentral.